CGCCGCACUCUGAAGGGGAAAUCAGAUAUACGGAGCUUUUUUGCCCGACGACCACCGAUCCAAUUCCCGUUUUUUCGCACAAAAUGUCUCCGAGGCGAUGUUAAGAUGUCGUUUUCGGGGAGAGGACGUUGUCAUAUCGCGAUCGGCUGUGGAGGGGGAGGGGCCGCGCAAUCACGCCCUACGUGCAAACAGCGCCCGUGUCCGCCACGAGGGGCGCUCCAGCACCGCGAGACACGCAGGCGAGCGCCCUACAGUCGCUUCAGUCAUUUGGGCUGUAGAGCAGCAGCAGCAGUGCAACCCCCGUAGCAGUUGCCAGGACUGAGCGCAUCCAGAAACUAAGCUGACAGAAGUUACAAUACUGGAUGAUGGCCAGGAUGGUGGCACAGCACAGGAACAUGGUCACC
This is a long non-coding RNA of Acanthopagrus latus (yellowfin seabream), 404 nucleotides long. RefSeq lists it as uncharacterized. The transcript has 3 exons. The record is from RefSeq and is a predicted model, not a curated record. NCBI's taxonomy places the organism in Eukaryota, Metazoa, Chordata, Actinopteri, Spariformes, Sparidae.